GACGAACGCUGGCGGCGUGCCUAAUACAUACAAGUUGAGCGCUGAAGGUUGGUACUUGUACCAACUGGAUGAGCAGCGAACGGGUGAGUAACGCGUGGGGAAUCUGCCUUUGAGCGGGGGACAACAUUUGGAAACGAAUGCUAAUACCGCAUAAAAACUUUAAACACAAGUUUUAAGUUUGAAAGAUGCAAUUGCAUCACUCAAAGAUGAUCCCGCGUUGUAUUAGCUAGUUGGUGAGGUAAAGGCUCACCAAGGCGAUGAUACAUAGCCGACCUGAGAGGGUGAUCGGCCACAUUGGGACUGAGACACGGCCCAAACUCCUACGGGAGGCAGCAGUAGGGAAUCUUCGGCAAUGGACGAAAGUCUGACCGAGCAACGCCGCGUGAGUGAAGAAGGUUUUCGGAUCGUAAAACUCUGUUGGUAGAGAAGAACGUUGGUGAGAGUGGAAAGCUCAUCAAGUGACGGUAACUACCCAGAAAGGGACGGCUAACUACGUG
RNAcentral lists this ribosomal RNA (497 nucleotides) under uncultured bacterium. Its description in RNAcentral is "partial 16S ribosomal RNA". It matches the Rfam family "Bacterial small subunit ribosomal RNA", at positions 28 to 507 of the family's 1533-position model. The record is from RNAcentral.